GCCGGAGGCCAUUGCUAUCAGGGUUUGACUAAGCCAUGCGAGUCGAGAGGUGUAAGACCUCGGCAUACUGCUCAGUAACACGUGGUUAACCUGCCCUAAGGUGGAGAAUACUCCCGGGAAACUGGGGCUAAUGCUCCAUAGUGGAUAUGUCCUGGAAUGGUAUAUCCUCGAAAGAUCCGUCGCCUUAGGAUGGGACUGCGUCCGAUUAGGUUGUUGGCGGGGUAACGGCCCACCAAGCCUUUUAUCGGUACGGGUUGUGGGAGCAAGAUCCCGGAGAUGGAUUCUGAGACAUGAAUCCAGGCCCUACGGGGCGCAGCAGGCGCGCAAACUUUACAAUGCGAGCAAUCGUGAUAAGGAAACCCUGAGUGCCUGUCGAUGCAGGCUGUUCAUAUAUCUAAAUCAUAUGUGAAGAAAGGGCAGGGCAAGACCGGUGCCAGCCGCCGCGGUAAUACCGGCUGCUCGAGUGAUGGCCACUAUUACUGGGUUUAAAGCGUCCGUAGCUUGACUGUUAGGUCUCUUGGGAAAUCUUCGCGCUCAACGUGAAGGCGUCUAAGAGAUACCGGCAGUCUUGGAACUGGGAGAGGUAAACCGUACUUCGGGGGUAGGAGUGAAAUCUUGUAAUCCUCGAGGGACGACCUAUGGCGAAGGCAGUUUACCAGAACAGCUUCGACAGUGAGGGACGAAAGCUGGGGGAGCAAAC
This 700-nucleotide ribosomal RNA is filed under the name uncultured Methanocorpusculum sp. Its description in RNAcentral is "bacterial SSU rRNA". It matches the Rfam family "Archaeal small subunit ribosomal RNA", at positions 16 to 724 of the family's 1478-position model. The record is from RNAcentral. Lineage: Archaea; Methanobacteriati; Methanobacteriota; Methanomicrobia; Methanomicrobiales; Methanocorpusculaceae.